GAUGAACGCUGGCGGCGUGCUUAACACAUGCAAGUCGAACGGGAAAUAUUUCAUUGAGACUUCGGUGGAUUUGAUUUAUUUCUAGUGGCGGACGGGUGAGUAACGCGUGGGUAACCUGCCUUAUACAGGGGGAUAACAGUCAGAAAUGGCUGCUAAUACCGCAUAGCGCACAGAGCUGCAUGGCUCAGUGUGAAAAACUCCGGUGGUAUAAGAUGGACCCGCGUUGGAUUAGCUAGUUGGUGGGGUAACGGCCCACCAAGGCGACGAUCCAUAGCCGGCCUGAGAGGGUGAACGGCCACAUUGGGACUGAGACACGGCCCAGACUCCUACGGGAGGCAGCAGUGGGGAAUAUUGCACAAUGGGGGAAACCCUGAUGCAGCGACGCCGCGUGAGGGAAGAAGUAUCUCGGUAUGUAAACUUCUAUCAGCAGGGAAGAUAGUGACGGUACCUGACGAAGAAGCCCCGGCUAACUACGUG
This 477-nucleotide ribosomal RNA is filed under the name uncultured bacterium. RNAcentral's name for it is "partial 16S ribosomal RNA". It matches the Rfam family "Bacterial small subunit ribosomal RNA", at positions 28 to 507 of the family's 1533-position model. The record is from RNAcentral.